This 1167-nucleotide ribosomal RNA is filed under the name uncultured Bacteroides sp. RNAcentral describes it as "bacterial SSU rRNA". It matches the Rfam family "Bacterial small subunit ribosomal RNA", at positions 10 to 1176 of the family's 1533-position model. The record is from RNAcentral. Lineage: Bacteria; Pseudomonadati; Bacteroidota; Bacteroidia; Bacteroidales; Bacteroidaceae.
AGUUUGAUCCUGGCUCAGGAUGAACGCUAGCUACAGGCUUAACACAUGCAAGUCGAGGGGCAGCAUUGGAGUAGCAAUACUUCAGAUGGCGACCGGCGCACGGGUGAGUAACACGUAUCCAACCUGCCGCUUACUCGGGGAUAGCCUUUCGAAAGAAAGAUUAAUACCCGAUGGUAUAAAGAGUUCGCAUGUUCUCUUUAUUAAAGAAUUUCGGUAAGCGAUGGGGAUGCGUUCCAUUAGAUAGUUGGCGGGGUAACGGCCCACCAAGUCUACGAUGGAUAGGGGUUCUGAGAGGAAGGUCCCCCACAUUGGAACUGAGACACGGUCCAAAUCCUACGGGAGGCAGCAGUGAGGAAUAUUGGUCAAUGGACGAGAGUCUGAACCAGCCAAGUAGCGUGAAGGAUGACUGCCCUAUGGGUUGUAAACUUCUUUUAUAAGGGAAUAAAGUGAGGGACGUGUCCCUUUUUGUAUGUACCUUAUGAAUAAGGAUCGGCUAACUCCGUGCUAGCAGCCGCGGUAAUACGGAGGAUCCAAGCGUUAUCCGGAUUUAUUGGGUUUAAAGGGAGCGUAGGUUGACGUAUAAGUCAGCUGUGAAAGUUUACGGCUCAACCGUGAAAUUGCAGUUGAUACUGUAUGUCUUGAGUGUACAAGAGGUGGGCGGAAUUCGUGGUGUAGCGGUGAAAUGCUUAGAUAUCACGAAGAACUCCAAUUGCGAAGGCAGCCCACUGGGGUACAACUGACACUGAGGCUCGAAAGUGUGGGUAUCAAACAGGAUUAGAUACCCUGGUAGUCCACACAGUAAACGAUGAAUACUCGCUGUUUGCGAUAUACAGUAAGCGGCCAAGCGAAAGCAUUAAGUAUUCCACCUGGGGAGUACGCCGGCAACGGUGAAACUCAAAGGAAUUGACGGGGGCCCGCACAAGCGGAGGAACAUGUGGUUUAAUUCGAUGAUACGCGAGGAACCUUACCCGGGCUUGAAUUGCAGAGGAACAUAGUUGAAAGAUUAUGGCCGCAAGGUCUCUGUGAAGGUGCUGCAUGGUUGUCGUCAGCUCGUGCCGUGAGGUGUCGGCUUAAGUGCCAUAACGAGCGCAACCCUUAUCAUUAGUUACUAACAGGUCAUGCUGAGGACUCUAGUGAGACUGCCGUCGUAAGAUGUGAGGAAGGUGG